GAGUUUGAUCGUGGCUCAGAACGAACGCUGGCGGCAUGCCUAACACAUGCAAGUCGAACGAACUCUUCGGAGUUAGUGGCGCACGGGUGCGUAACGCGUGGGAAUCUGCCCUUGGGUACGGAAUAACUCAGAGAAAUUUGUGCUAAUACCGUAUAAUGACUUCGGUCCAAAGAUUUAUCGCCCAAGGAUGAGCCCGCGUAAGAUUAGCUAGUUGGUGGGUAAAGGCCUACCAAGGCUACGAUCUUUAGCUGGUCUGAGAGGAUGAUCAGCCACACUGGGACUGAGACACGGCCCAGACUCCUACGGGAGGCAGCAGUGGGGAAUAUUGGACAAUGGGCGAAAGCCUGAUCCAGCAAUGCCGCGUGAGUGAUGAAGGCCUUAGGGUUGUAAAGCUCUUUUACCCGGGAUGAUAAUGACAGUACCGGGAGAAUAAAGCUCCGGCUAACUCCGUGCCAGCCGCCGCGGU
This 466-nucleotide ribosomal RNA is filed under the name uncultured microorganism. Its description in RNAcentral is "bacterial SSU rRNA". It matches the Rfam family "Bacterial small subunit ribosomal RNA", at positions 9 to 521 of the family's 1533-position model. The record is from RNAcentral.